GUCACCGAUCGCUGAGAGAUUUCACCUGUGACUACCAAGAGCCAACUAAAAGUAAGUUCACAAUGGAGCGGUCCCAGUGGAGGAACAUGCGCAAGAGAGCCAUAAAAAGGACAAACGACAGAAUUUUAGAGGUACAAAGAAGUCUUUGCACAGGUGUUGUAGAGCACAGUGGGAUGGUAAGUAGUGACUUUGGUGAAGUUGUGGACACUGAGAUGGUGAGUGAGGAUGAGGUCUCUGAAAAUGAUGAGGUCUCCGAAGAUGAUGAUGAGGAGGAUGAUGAGGUUUCUCCUUCAUUAGAUUUGUCCACUGCUCUGUCUGACUGGGCUGUUGAGUAUGGUGUGUCAUUAGUGGCAUUGUCUGCUCUUCUGUGCAUCCUUAGAAUGCAUCACCCCUUUCUUCCAAAGGAUGGGAGAACCCUUUUAAAAACGGCAACCAAGUACACUCUAGAAAGGUUGGCUGGUGGGGUGUUUUUCUAUUUUGGUAUUUUGAACAUGUUUCGCAAAACCUUUGAGCAUUUGUCGUCCAAAUUUCCAGAUAGAAACGUGUUUAUGUUGCAGCUUA
Molecule: long non-coding RNA, 561 nt
Organism: Alosa alosa (allis shad)
Lineage: Eukaryota; Metazoa; Chordata; Actinopteri; Clupeiformes; Clupeidae
Exons: 3
Source: RefSeq, a predicted model, not a curated record